Molecule: ribosomal RNA, 253 nt
Filed under: uncultured bacterium
Lineage: Bacteria
Description: partial 16S ribosomal RNA
Rfam family: Bacterial small subunit ribosomal RNA
Source: RNAcentral
UACGAAGGGGGCUAGCGUUGCUCGGAAUUACUGGGCGUAAAGCGCACGUAGGCGGACUACUAAGUCAGGGGUGAAAUCCCGGGGCUCAACCCCGGAACUGCCUUUGAUACUGAUAGUCUCGAGUCCGGAAGAGGUGAGUGGAAUUCCGAGUGUAGAGGUGAAAUUCGUAGAUAUUCGGAGGAACACCAGUGGCGAAGGCGGCUCACUGGUCCGGUACUGACGCUGAGGUGCGAAAGCGUGGGGAGCAAACAGG